CACCCCAAAACCCGAAUGUUUAUAUUUGUCGUAUGUCCAUAUAAGACACAUCAUGAAAUAAAUAACUAGGCUAAUUAACCUAGUUAAGUAUAUGGCAAAACUAUUAAAUGGAGAGAGUUGUGCCAAAUGUGUUCUAAGUGCCAACAUGAGGGACUAAUUGGAGUAAAAUGGAAGUUGAGUUAUUAAAAUAAAAAAAUAAACACACACAACACACAAUUCGUGUGUGUUCUCGAACGUACAGGGGCUUCAAGAAGCCAAGCCCUAGUUCUUCAAAAAAAGCUUCAAAUUAAGGGAUGAUUCAAGGCUCAAAUUCAUGAAUUCUCAUGGAUUAAUGAUCACCAUCACAAGGGGAUCAUAAGGAACGUGUCAAGGAGAGCUCAAGCAUAGGAGGGUAACGGGUCAAGAUAAGGCAAGGUGACAAAUACACUUAUGGGAGUACUCAAGGUUAUGAAUGUCGGACUUUCGAAGUGUUGAUAUAAUAAUGAAACGGUUGAAUGUUGAAAGGAUAAUCGGAUUGAAGUAACUUAUGCGGUUAGAAUAUGCUAUGGACGUUUUAGUUUAUUCAACAUUUUAUGUUUGGUCGUCAUCAUCUACCAACGGGGUAAGCGCAAUUGUUGGAAGAGAUGAUCCGUGAAUGCGGUCUAGGACCGGCAUCGAGGCAAGUAAUGAAACAAAUUGACCCCAGGUACGUAAACCUAACGUAUGGGCGUAUGAAAUGGUAUGGUUAAGCAAGUGAAAUAAAAAAUUUUGAACAAAUUAUGAUAACGACAUGGUAAAUAAUUUUUGAAAAUGUUACACGAGCCGAAACUGAAUUCUUCGGACAUAAGGUGACAAUUACGCGAAGACACGAAACUAGUACGUGGAAUGUGUACCUGGCCAAUACACAAGAAACGUAUGAAGUUCGUGAGACCGUGAUAAUUAUUACAGGUAUGUCCGAUAGAGUUUGGUAGCAGCUGGGCGUGUGGGUGAAAUGGUUAGUAAGACUCUCGGGGGAUUGAGAGUACUUUGUAGGAAUGAAAUAUGUGAAUGCAAUGCUUGAAUCCGCAAGACGGAUUCAAGGAAUGAAAUAUGCGAAUGCAAUGCUUGAAUCCGCGAGACGGAUUCAAGGAAUGAAAUAUGCGAAUGCAAUGCUUGAAUCCGCGAGACGGAUUCAAGGAAUGAAAUAUGCGAAUGCAAUGCUUGAAUCCGCGAGACGGAUUCAAGGAAUGAAAUAUGCGAAUGCGAUGCUUGAAUCCGCGAGACGGAUACAAGGAAUGAAAUAUGCGAAUGCGAUGCUUGAAUCCGCGAGACGGAUUCAAGGAAUGAAAGAUACGAAUGCGAUGCUUGAAUCCGCGAGACGGAUUCAAGGAAUGAAAGAUAUGGAUGCACUGCUUGAAUCCGCGAGACGGAUUAAAGGAAUGAAAGGCAUGAAUGCAAUGUUCAAAUCCGCGAAGCGGACUUAAGGUAUAAAAAGGCGAAAACUAGUCUACAUAAGAAGGGUCAAUAGUUUGACCAUGAUUACGUCAAACAAGACAUAUAAGUAAAUGUAAUGCAAAUGAACAAAGGAAUGAUAAGAAGGAAGAUAUUCGAAUGUGAAGUGAUUACAUACCAAAACAAAUAAAUAUUCCUUAAGUGAUAUGAUCCAAAUUAUGUUUAAACUUUUGUAUAUAUAUAUACAUGAUUAUAUUUAUGUAAAUGUGUUGUAAGCAAGAAUGGUAGAAAGGAUAAAUGGGACAUACGGGUCAGAUGGCAACCGCCAUUUGAACUCGGUAGUUAAUGAUAUGAUUUGUCAAGUUUCAUGCUCAUAGGUGAGCUUGAAGAAUGGAGACGCAAUGUCACUAACCGGAAAGGAAUGAUCAUCGUAAGGUAUGGAUAACGAAUCAAUGGAAUUUACUUCCGUCAGAUGUGUAUAAAAAGAGUCAUAACUUAAAUAGGAGGUUAUGACUCGACUAGAGGCUGAUGUGUUAGAAUAGAAUAUAUAUAUAUACAAACCGUAAUGCAAAGAUGUAGAAUGACUUUCAAAAUGUUCGUAAUGAUCGUCAAGUGGUAUAGAACAUGAAUGCCUGUAACUGUGGUAAUUCUAAUAGAAUGUAAGUGAUGACAAGUACCGUUAAGAAAUACGAACCUUGAUGCUUGGCUUGUUGGCCAUGUUCAUUUGAACAAGACACUGUAGAAAAGAUACGCAUGGCAUAAAUAACGAUAGUAACCAUGGAAAUAAUGCUUAAUUUUUGUGUUAAGUAUGGAUAAGAGAGUUUAAGAAGGGUGAUUUUGAUUGUAACAAUAAGUCUUUAAAUGAUUGUAAUAUGCGUAUGAUAAUAUAUCGACCCCUCCUAUGAGCUUAAGGAUAAUCGGAAGUAACGAUAGUAAGGGAAUGUUUAGGAUGGCUCAUAGUGAACAAAAUGAAAGAUAUCAUAUGAUGUAUGAGUAGAAUGAAAUAAACCGACUUAUUUCAAUUAGUAAAUAUACAAAUGUAAUAUGCUUAAAUAGGAUGUUAGAAACAAGCCAUAGACUUAGUAUGUAUGGUUAAUAACUGCAUACAAUUGGAAUAAAUUCGAUGAAUAAAAUGCUAGGGAUAAUAUGUGCUAGAAACUAGCAAUAUGAAGUGAAAGACACUAAUAAGAGCUCUGGAGCAGAAUCUAACAUAAGUAUUGUGAAUGAACAACUUGAAAGGGGUAAGAGUAGAAUUGGUUUAAUUUUAAAUGAAAAAGGUUUCGGGGACGAAACCUUAUUUAAGAGGGGUAGACUUGUAACACCCCAAAACCCGAAUGUUUAUAUUUGUCGUAUGUCCAUAUAAGACACAUCAUGAAAUAAAUAACUAGGCUAAUUAACCUACUUAAGUAUAUGGCAAAACUAUUAAAUGGAGAGAGUUAUGCCAAAUGUGUUCUAAGUGCCAACAUGAGGGACUAAUUGGAGUAAAAUGGAAGUUGAGUUAUUAAAAUAAAAAAAAUAAACACACACAACACACAAUUCGUGUGUGUUCUCGAACGUACAGGGGCUUCAAGAAGCCAAGCCCUAGUUCUUCAAAAAAAGCUUCAAAUUAAGGGAUGAUUCAAGGCUCAAAUUCAUGAAUUCUCAUGGAUUAAUGAUCACCAUCACAAGGGGAUCAUAAGGAACGUGUCAAGGAGAGCUCAAGCAUAGGAGGAUAACGGGUCAAGAUAAGGCAAGGUGACAAAUACACUUAUUGGAGUACUCAAGUGCAGGUUAUGAAUGUCGGACUUUCGAAGUGUUGAUAUAAUAAUGAAACGGUUGAAUGUUGAAAGGAUAAUCGGAUUGAAGUAACUUAUGCGGUUAGAAUAUGCUAUGGACGUUUUAGUUUAUACAACAUUUUAUGUUUGGUCGUCAUCAUCUACCAACGGGUAAAUCCUCAAUUCAGGCGACUUGGAGAAUCGGAGCGAGCGCGUGUUCAUGUUAUGUCAUACCAAACGCUUCCGCUAGCUUGUUCAAAUGUUUUUGAACCAAAAUUUGUUGUAUUGGUUUUUAGUAGUAUCUUGUUGAAUGAAUUGUAGAAUUGUAUCUAGUUUGUUUAUGUUUAAAACAGGGGUAUGCUCGUUUUAUGGACGGGUCAUGCCCGAUUUUUGUUAAAUUAUAGUAUGAUAAUAUCACAUUUAGGAAGAUGAAAUUUUGGGCGUAA
Molecule: long non-coding RNA, 3610 nt
Organism: Helianthus annuus (common sunflower)
Lineage: Eukaryota; Viridiplantae; Streptophyta; Magnoliopsida; Asterales; Asteraceae
Exons: 7
Source: RefSeq, a predicted model, not a curated record